This 330-nucleotide ribosomal RNA is filed under the name uncultured Smithella sp. RNAcentral's name for it is "bacterial SSU rRNA". It matches the Rfam family "Bacterial small subunit ribosomal RNA", at positions 1053 to 1382 of the family's 1533-position model. The record is from RNAcentral. Lineage: Bacteria; Pseudomonadati; Thermodesulfobacteriota; Syntrophia; Syntrophales; Smithellaceae.
CGUCAGCUCGUGUCGCGAGAUGUUGGGUUAAGUCCCGCAACGAGCGCAACCCUUGUCUUUAAUUGCCAGCAUUCAGUUGGGCACUUUAAAGAGACUGCCGGUGUUAAGCCGGAGGAAGGUGGGGAUGACGUCAAGUCCUCAUGGCCUUUAUGCCCAGGGCUACACACGUGCUACAAUGGGUGGUACAAAGAGAUGCCAACUCGCGAGAGCGCGCCAAUCUCAGAAAGCCAUCCUCAGUUCGGAUUGGAGUCUGCAACUCGACUCCAUGAAGUUGGAAUCGCUAGUAAUCGCGGAUCAGCACGCCCGCGGUCGAAUACGUUCCCGGGCCUU